This 401-nucleotide ribosomal RNA is filed under the name uncultured bacterium. RNAcentral's name for it is "bacterial SSU rRNA". It matches the Rfam family "Bacterial small subunit ribosomal RNA", at positions 360 to 773 of the family's 1533-position model. The record is from RNAcentral.
AAUAUUGCACAAUGGGCGAAAGCCUGAUGCAGCGACGCCGCGUGAGGGAUGACGGCCUUCGGGUUGUAAACCUCUUUCAGCAGGGAAGAAGCGAAAGUGACGGUACCUGCAGAAGAAGCGCCGGCUAACUACGUGCCAGCAGCCGCGGUAAUACGUAGGGUCCGAGCGUUGUCCGGAAUUACUGGGCGUAAAGGGCGCGUAGGCGGUCUGUCAAGUUAGGUGUGAAAGCCCUGGGCUCAACCCAGGAACUGCAUUUAAGACUGGCAGGCUAGAGAUCUAGAGGGGAUAGUGGAAUUCCAAGUGUAGAGGUGAAAUUCGUAGAUAUUUGGAGGAACACCAGUGGCGAAGGCGACUAUCUGGCUAGAAUCUGACGCUGAGGCGCGAUAGCGUGGGGAGCAAAC